GUGUACAAUAAUUGUGUUGUGCUCUGUGCUCCCUACCCACUCUUGGCAGGCGUGACGUCACAUUUUAAGGCAGUUGGUUGAGCUGGAAGCAGAGGAGGAGACGAGCAACCCAGCGAGUUGAAUGAAGGGCCUGCGAAAAAAAAAGAAGAGAAAAAGACGUCGUUAAAAGAUAACCAAGCAUAUUGGUUUUUAAACGUCAACUUUUAGACCUCGAAAGUGAAUAUAGAAGACUACUUUUGCAAAUUCCCGACCGGAUAAUCCGAUUCAACUGGAGAAACAACCAAGCUCUUUCCCAACAGAAGCAUGUUACAGUGCUAUUUUUUUACCAGCUAGCAGGGAGCGAUACGGCACAAUCCGUGGACAGGCUGAACAGGAGUCGGGACCACAUUUGAACUGGGAAGUGGUUCUGAAAGGUUGGUCAUGUUACACAUAUAUAUAUAUAUAUAUAUAUAUAUAUUAUUUUUUAUUUAUUUAUUGGAAAGGAUUGGUUUAUGUAAGAGAGCUUUCUGUUGUUGACAGGUCAAUAUGUCUUUUCCAACUGGUUUCUAAGAAAGGCAGGAUCUUCAAUUCAGAAGGGCAGGAUCUUGCUCCCUCGCUCUUUCUGGUCAGGCCUUGAGUUGUUUUGUCCGCUUUGCUGUUCCGUCUCCAUGUUCUUCUUUUCAUAAAAUAAAGAUGGGUUUUCUUUGAAUGAGGCUACAUUCUCUGCUCUUUGUGUCUGCUCCCUGCAAACCCUUUCCCCCACCAGACAGUGAGUGCACAGAAACAUUGUUUCUGAAUAUCAGGCCCAGACUCUCUCCUCACUACUGAAUGAGACCCUUGGGGUGAACCAGACUGUUGCAGUGUUCUGUCUCUCUCUCUCUCUCUCUCUCUCUCUCAUCCACUGGGGAAAUAAGACAUGUUAUACAUCCAAUAAGACUAAAAGUAUGUGCUCUAGCAGCAGACGUGAACGUUGUCACACUGCCUAAAGGUCCUUCUAAAGCUCUCGGUAUGCAGACCACGAUCUGGAGCCAGAGACUUCACUGGAAAUCCAAUUUGAGGAAAGCGGCGUCUGAAGGGGCAGUUUAGGGCAUUUAGGAUGACGAGGCCAAGUGGAGGGUGUAGCUGAGACCGAGGGGGAUAGUCAGACAUUUUUACAUGCACCUGCCUUUGUAAACGGUACCGUAG
RNAcentral lists this long non-coding RNA (1164 nucleotides) under Salmo trutta (river trout). RNAcentral describes it as "lncRNA (ENSSTUG00000014084.1)". The record is from RNAcentral. Lineage: Eukaryota; Metazoa; Chordata; Actinopteri; Salmoniformes; Salmonidae.